CGUAGGGUGCGAGCGUUAAUCGGAAUUACUGGGCGUAAAGCGUGCGCAGGCGGUUUGUUAAGAUAGGCGUGAAAUCCCCGGGCUCAACCUGGGAACUGCGCUUAUGACUAGCAAGCUAGAGUACGGCAGAGGGGGGUGGAAUUCCACGUGUAGCAGUGAAAUGCGUAGAGAUGUGGAGGAACACCAAUGGCGAAGGCAGCCCCCUGGGUCGAUACUGACGCUCAUGCACGAAAGCGUGGGUAGCAAACAGGAUUAGAUACCCUGGUAGUCCACGCCCUAAACGAUGUCAACUAGGUGUUGGAUGGGUAAAACCAUUUAGUACCGGAGCUAACGCGUGAAGUUGACCGCCUGGGGAGUACGGCCGCAAGGUCA
This 372-nucleotide ribosomal RNA is filed under the name uncultured organism. Its description in RNAcentral is "bacterial SSU rRNA". It matches the Rfam family "Bacterial small subunit ribosomal RNA", at positions 526 to 896 of the family's 1533-position model. The record is from RNAcentral.